GACGAACGCUGGCGGCGUGCUUAACACAUGCAAGUCGAACGGAAAGGCCCUGCUUGCAGGGUGCUCGAGUGGCGAACGGGUGAGUAACACGUGGGUGAUCUGCCCCUUAUUUUGGGAUAAGCCUGGGAAACUGGGUCUAAUACUGGAUAGGACCAUGCUGUAGGUGGUGUGGUGGAAAGAUUAGUUUCGGUAAGGGAUGAGCGCGCGGCCUAUCAGCUUGUUGGUGGGGUAAUGGCCUACCAAGGCGUCGACGGGUAGCCGGCCUGAGAGGGUGGACGGCCACAUUGGGACUGAGAUACGGCCCAGACUCCUACGGGAGGCAGCAGUGGGGAAUAUUGCACAAUGGGCGCAAGCCUGAUGCAGCGACGCCGCGUGGGGGAUGACGGCCUUCGGGUUGUAAACUCCUUUCAGCCAUGACGAAGCCCUUGUGGUGACGGUAGUGGUAGAAGAAGCACCGGCUAACUACGUG
Molecule: ribosomal RNA, 469 nt
Filed under: uncultured bacterium
Lineage: Bacteria
Description: partial 16S ribosomal RNA
Rfam family: Bacterial small subunit ribosomal RNA
Source: RNAcentral